ACGGAGGGUGCAAGCGUUGUUCGGAAUCAUUGGGCGUAAAGCGCGUGUAGGCGGUCACCUAAGUCUGGUGUGAAAUCCCGGGGCUCAACCCCGGAAGUGCAUUGGAUACUGGGUGGCUAGAGGACGAGAGAGGGAAGCGGAAUUCCUGGUGUAGGGGUGAAAUCCGUAGAUAUCAGGAGGAACAUCGGUGGCGAAGGCGGCUUCCUGGCUCGUACCUGACGCUGAGACGCGAAAGCGUGGGGAGCAAACAG
This 251-nucleotide ribosomal RNA is filed under the name uncultured prokaryote. Its description in RNAcentral is "partial 16S rRNA". It matches the Rfam family "Bacterial small subunit ribosomal RNA", at positions 525 to 775 of the family's 1533-position model. The record is from RNAcentral.